ACACAUGCAAGUCGAACGAGCGAGAGAGAGCUUGCUUUCUCGAGCGAGUGGCGAACGGGUGAGUAACGCGUGAGGAACCUGCCUCAAAGAGGGGGACAACAGUUGGAAACGACUGCUAAUACCGCAUAAGCCCACAGGUCGGCAUCGACCAGAGGGAAAAGGAGCAAUCCGCUUUGAGAUGGCCUCGCGUCCGAUUAGCUAGUUGGUGAGGUAAUGGCCCACCAAGGCAACGAUCGGUAGCCGGACUGAGAGGUUGAACGGCCACAUUGGGACUGAGACACGGCCCAGACUCCUACGGGAGGCAGCAGUGGGGAAUAUUGCACAAUGGGGGAAACCCUGAUGCAGCGACGCCGCGUGGAGGAAGAAGGUCUUCGGAUUGUAAACUCCUGUUGUUGAGGAAGAUAAUGACGGUACUCAACAAGGAAGUGACGGCUAACUACGUGCCAGCAGCCGCGGUAAAACGUAGGUCACAAGCGUUGUCCGGAAUUACUGGGUGUAAAGGGAGCGCAGGCGGGAAGACAAGUUGGAAGUGAAAUCUAUGGGCUCAACCCAUAAACUGCUUUCAAAACUGUUUUUCUUGAGUAGUGCAGAGGUAGGCGGAAUUCCCGGUGUAGCGGUGGAAUGCGUAGAUAUCGGGAGGAACACCAGUGGCGAAGGC
RNAcentral lists this ribosomal RNA (658 nucleotides) under uncultured Lachnospiraceae bacterium. RNAcentral's name for it is "bacterial SSU rRNA". It matches the Rfam family "Bacterial small subunit ribosomal RNA", at positions 51 to 722 of the family's 1533-position model. The record is from RNAcentral. Lineage: Bacteria; Bacillati; Bacillota; Clostridia; Lachnospirales; Lachnospiraceae.